Ipomoea nil (Japanese morning glory) is the source of this 139-nucleotide long non-coding RNA. RefSeq lists it as uncharacterized. The record is from RefSeq and is a predicted model, not a curated record. The transcript is spliced from 3 exons. Lineage: Eukaryota; Viridiplantae; Streptophyta; Magnoliopsida; Solanales; Convolvulaceae.
ACUGGAGUUUAGACCUGUUCUCUCAUUGUGUUCUAGUUUGCCGAGAGUAAUAUAGCUUGAGUACUCAAUUAUAUUAAUGUAAUUUAUUUUAUUCUGAGAGACUAACACUACAUACAAUAAUGCUCCUAGCACCCUCUGG